AUAUUUAUAGCUUACUACAGAGCGCUUUACUGAAGAUAAAGAAGUCUAAAAAAU
This 54-nucleotide transfer RNA is filed under the name Cyrtarachne nagasakiensis. RNAcentral describes it as "tRNA-Phe". Lineage: Eukaryota; Metazoa; Arthropoda; Arachnida; Araneae; Araneidae. The record is from RNAcentral.